GAUGAACGCUGGCGGCGUGCCUAAUACAUGCAAGUCGAGCGAACAGACGAGGAGCUUGCUCCUCUGACGUUAGCGGCGGACGGGUGAGUAACACGUGGAUAACCUACCUAUAAGACUGGGAUAACUUCGGGAAACCGGAGCUAAUACCGGAUAAUAUAUUGAACCGCAUGGUUCAAUAGUGAAAGACGGUUUUGCUGUCACUUAUAGAUGGAUCCGCGCCGCAUUAGCUAGUUGGUAAGGUAACGGCUUACCAAGGCAACGAUGCGUAGCCGACCUGAGAGGGUGAUCGGCCACACUGGAAAUGAGACACGGUACAGACUCCUACGGGAGGCAGCAGUAGGGAAUCUUCCGCAAUGGGCGAAAGCCUGACGGAGAAACGCCGCGUGAGUGAUGAAGGUCUUCGGAUCGUAAAACUCUGUUAUUAGGGAAGAACAAAUGUGUAAGUAACUAUGCACGUCUUGACGGUACCUACUCAGAAAGCCACGGCUAAAUACGUG
This 497-nucleotide ribosomal RNA is filed under the name uncultured bacterium. RNAcentral describes it as "partial 16S ribosomal RNA". It matches the Rfam family "Bacterial small subunit ribosomal RNA", at positions 28 to 507 of the family's 1533-position model. The record is from RNAcentral.